CAUGGAGAAGAGAAGGCGCCAGGGGGACCUUAUAGUGUCCUGCCAGGACCUGGCACGGGGCUGUGAGCAGCCUGGGCUGGUGAGAGGUGUCCCUGCCCACAGCAGGGGGUUGGAAUGAGGUGGUCUGACAGGUUCCAAGCCAACCCAAACCAUCCCAUGAUUCCAUGAUCUUGAAGGUCCCUUCCAACCUAAACCAUCCCAUGUUUCCAUGAUCUUGAAGGCCCCUUCCAGCCCAAAGCAUCCCAUGAUUCCAUGAUCUUGAAGGUCCCUUCCAGCCCAAACCAUCCCAUGAUUCUCUGAUUCUAUUCCUAGGGACCAGGCACUGGAGUGAAGUUCUCCAUCACGCUUCCCUUCUGAGCCCCCCCAGCUGCUGAACUCUGCUGCCCCUCUGCUCCCACUGCCCUCCCAUGGCCACAGCCAGGAGCUCUUUCCUCCUGGGAAGAGCAGCUGCAGUCCUCUCGGCUCCUCUGUCAAACCCAUUUUCCCAGCCUGGUGGUGGGAUGCCCUGCAGGGUUGGACAGCCCCAACUCUUCCUGCCCCCCCCCCCCCCCCCCCCCCCCCCCCCGGGUGCUCUCUGCCAUCCUCCCUCCUGGCUGCAGACCGCAGGGAGCAGAUGGGCCCUUCCUCCUCCCGGCUCAGUGCUUCCUGCUGCUUCCCACUCGCCAACAUUUGCAUCUCGCUUCUGCUCUGACCUUUGCAGAGAGUGGAGCAGGAAGUGAGCGCAGUGCUGCACUAUGAGCCCCUCUGCACAGCGCCGGGUGUGUCUGCAUCCUCCUGAGCUGUGUGUGCAACUCCACCGAUUUGCCCCAUUCCAUGGCAGAGCCCUGGCCCAUAGUAGAGCCUCUGUCCCAUGGCAGGGCCCCUGGCCUCAUGGCAAAGCCCUCCACUCCACAGCAGAGCCCUUUCCCCAUGGCAAAACCCCUGCCCCAUGGCAGAGCUCUUGCACCAUGGUAGAGCCCCCAUGCCAAGGCAGAGCCCUGGCCCAUCGUAGAGCCCCUGUUCCAUGGCAGAGCCCCCACCCUAUGGCAGAGCCCUAUGGAGGAGCCCACACCCUAUGACACAGCUCCAGCUCCAUAGCAGAGCUCCCACCCCAUGGCAGAGCCCUUGCCCCAUGGCAAAGCCCUCACCCUAUGGCAGAGCCCCAGCCCUACGACAGAGCACCUGCCUGGAUGCUGCUCCCCCAGCACCACCCCACCCGUGUGCUGUUGCAGCCCCACGGAUUGCAUGCUAGCAGACAAU
Molecule: long non-coding RNA, 1239 nt
Filed under: Gallus gallus (chicken)
Lineage: Eukaryota; Metazoa; Chordata; Aves; Galliformes; Phasianidae
Description: lncRNA (ENSGALG00010007618.1)
Source: RNAcentral